AAGUCGUAACAAGGUUUCCGUAGGUGAACCUGCGGAAGGAUCAUUACUGAGUUAGGGUCUUCAUGGCCGAUCCGUCCCAACCCUUCAGUCGUUAAACAUUAACCACCGUUGCUUUCGGCUGGGCCCGGUCCUCUCGAGGAGCCGCCGGGGAGGUUUCCACCUCUCUGGCCCGUUGCCCGCCGGUGGCCAAACCACAAAACUCUUGAUAAACACUGUCGUCUGAGUUACAUUUAUUUAAUUAAAAAAUAAAA
This 251-nucleotide unclassified non-coding RNA is filed under the name plant metagenome. Its description in RNAcentral is "partial contains small subunit ribosomal RNA and internal transcribed spacer 1". The stretch from base 1 to 46 matches the Rfam family "Eukaryotic small subunit ribosomal RNA", at positions 1786 to 1831 of the family's 1831-position model. The record is from RNAcentral.